CUUGAAUAAAAUAAGAGGUCCAGCCUGCCCAGUGAAAUUAUUCAACGGCCGCGGUAUCCUAACCGUGCGAAGGUAGCGUAAUCACUUGUUCUUUAAAUGAGGACUAGUAUGAAUGGCACCACGAGGGUUCUACUGUCUCCUUUUUUUAAUCAGUGAAACUAAUCUCCCCGUGAAGAAGCGGGGAUCUUUAUAUAAGACGAGAAGACCCUAUGGAGCUUUAAACAACCAACAUUUGCUACACCAUAACAUUUUUCCCUAAAAGAAGUAUAGCAUUAUGAUUAUUAGUUUUCGAUUGGGGUGAUCACGGAGUAAAAUAUAACCUCCAUGCCGAAAGGGUUCUUACCCUGAGCAAAAAGCCACAACUUUAAGCACUAAAAAAUUAACGCAGUUUGACCCAAUAUUUUGAUCAACGAAC
RNAcentral lists this ribosomal RNA (415 nucleotides) under Boana boans group sp. ABGD cluster 15. RNAcentral's name for it is "partial large subunit ribosomal RNA". It matches the Rfam family "Archaeal large subunit ribosomal RNA", at positions 1927 to 2490 of the family's 2987-position model. Lineage: Eukaryota; Metazoa; Chordata; Amphibia; Anura; Hylidae. The record is from RNAcentral.